UCUAAUAUGGCAGAUUAGUGCAAUGGAUUUAAGCUUCAUAUAUAAAGUAAUUUACUUUUAUUAGAA
RNAcentral lists this transfer RNA (66 nucleotides) under Sphyracephala beccarii. Its description in RNAcentral is "tRNA-Leu". Lineage: Eukaryota; Metazoa; Arthropoda; Insecta; Diptera; Diopsidae. The record is from RNAcentral. RNAcentral also lists the same sequence under 8 other names.